Molecule: ribosomal RNA, 467 nt
Filed under: uncultured bacterium
Lineage: Bacteria
Description: partial 16S ribosomal RNA
Rfam family: Bacterial small subunit ribosomal RNA
Source: RNAcentral
GACGAACGCUGGCGGCGUGCUUAACACAUGCAAGUCGAACGGAAAGGCCCUGCUUUUGUGUGGUGCUCGAGUGGCGAACGGGUGAGUAACACGUGAGUAACCUGCCCUUGACUUUGGAUAACUUCAGGAAACUGUGGCUCAUACCGGAUAGGAGCUCCUGCUGCAUGGUGGGGGUUGGAAAGUUUCGGCGGUUGGGGAUGGACUCGCGGCUUAUCAGCUUGUUGGUGGGGUAGUGGCUUACCAAGGCUUUGACGGGUAGCCGGCCUGAGAGGGUGACCGGCCACAUUGGGACUGAGAUACGGCCCAGACUCCUACGGGAGGCAGCAGUGGGGAAUAUUGCACAAUGGGCGGAAGCCUGAUGAAGCAACGCCGCGUGCGGGAUGACGGCCUUCGGGUUGUAAACCGCUUUCGCCUGUGACGAAGCGUGAGUGACGGUAAUGGGUAAAGAAGCACCGGCUAACUACGUG